CUACGGGCUGCUGCAGUUAGGUAUAUUUUGCAAUGCGCGAAAGCGUGACAAAUUGAGCCAGAGUGUUUUUCAAUUGAAAAACUUUUGCCGAAUUUAAAAAGUUCGGCGAAUAAGGACUGGGUAAGACGAGUGCCAGCCGCCGCGGUAAUACUCGCGGUCCAAGUCGCAGCCAUUUUUAUUGGGUCUAAAACAUCCGUAGCUUGCUUGAUAAGUUUCCUGUGAAAUCCGGCUUCUUAAAAGUCGAACGUGCGGGAAGUACUGUCAAGCUAGAGACUGGAAGACGUGAGAAGUAUGUUCAAAGUAGCGGUAAAAUGUGUUAAUCUUGAGCAGACUAACAAUAGCGAAGGCAUCUCACGAGGACAGUUCUGACAGUAAGGGAUGAAGGCUAGGGGCGCAAAACGGAUUAGAUACCCCUGUAGUC
Molecule: ribosomal RNA, 421 nt
Filed under: uncultured archaeon
Lineage: Archaea
Description: partial 16S ribosomal RNA
Rfam family: Archaeal small subunit ribosomal RNA
Source: RNAcentral